Molecule: non-coding RNA, 506 nt
Organism: Salmo salar (Atlantic salmon)
Lineage: Eukaryota; Metazoa; Chordata; Actinopteri; Salmoniformes; Salmonidae
Source: RefSeq, a predicted model, not a curated record
AUGAAGCUGAAGGUCUUAGGGAACAGAGCAGUACGUUAUGAAGCUGAAGGUCCUAGGGAACAGAGCAGUACGUUAUGAAGCUGAAGGUCUUAGGGAACAGAGCAGUACGUUAUGAAGCUGAAGGUCCUAGGGAACAGAGCAGUACAUUAUGAAGCUGAAGGUCCUAGGGAACAGAGCAGUACGUUAUGAAGCUGAAGGUCCUAGGGAACAGAGCAGUACAUUAUGAAGCUGAAGGUCCUAGGGAACAGAGCAGUACAUUAUGUAUGAAGCUGAAGGUCUUAGGGAACAGAGCAGUACGUUAUGAAGCUGAAGGUCUUAGGGAACAGAGCAGUACGUUAUGAAGCUGAAGGUCCUAGGGAACAGAGCAGUACGUUAUGAAGCUGAAGGUCUUAGGGAACAGAGCAGUACGUUAUGAAGCUGAAGGUCCUAGGGAACAGAGCAGUACAUGAUGAAGCUGAAGGUCUUAGGGAACAGAGCAGUACAUUAUGAAGCUGAAGGUCCUAGGG